This 40-nucleotide transfer RNA is filed under the name Cleomella sparsifolia. RNAcentral describes it as "partial tRNA-His". The record is from RNAcentral. Lineage: Eukaryota; Viridiplantae; Streptophyta; Magnoliopsida; Brassicales; Cleomaceae.
GGGCGGAUGUAGCCAAGUGGAUUAAGGCAGUGGAUUGUGA